CUAGCUUUAGAUAACAUUUUCGAGUAAAAUAACAUGAAUACCAAAUAUAGGAAAAAUAUAAAACAAGAACAAUCCAAAAACACAACAAAACAAAGGCAACAUGAAAGCAAAACCCUUUUCCCUGCAAAAGUGUAGAGAGAAAAAACACACUCAUACCAAACUUUUCCAUUAUCAUCUUUCCUCUUUUCCCAGACAUAUCCGAAGCUCAACAGCAGCCGCAGAAGCAUAUUAUGACCAUGAUGAUGAAGUUCUAUACGUUCACUUUCUUAAUCUUCUUGUUCUCUAUGCUCCAAGGUCACUGCAAAUCAGAUAUCAACCUUGGUCAUUCUCUAACGCUCACUUCUCCACUAGAAUACGCUCCCGGGUUAAUGGGGAAAGCUUAUAUAAUGGAGACAGAAUCAUCAUCAUCAACAAGAGAACCUGGUUUUAAAGCCGCGUUAACGAUGGGAUCAAGCGACAAAGAUGAUGGAAAAUAUUUGUGUUCCCUCCAAGUCUUCCUUGGAGAUGUAAGAGUUUGGAGCUCAGGGCAUUACUCAAAGAUGUAUGUUUCUAGCAAAUGCAUCAUUGAGCUCACAAAAGAUGGAGACUUGAGGCUAAAGAGUAGCAAUAAACACGUUGGAUGGCGAAGUGGAACCUCAGGACAAGGCGUUGAGAGGUUGGAGAUACAAAGCACAGGGAACCUAGUGUUGCAUGAUGCUAAAAAUCUGAUCAAAUGGCAAAGUUUUAAUUUCCCAACAGAUGUGAUGUUGAGUGGUCAGAGACUAGACGUAGCUACGCAACUAACUUCAUUCCCAAACGACUCAACUUUGUUCUAUUCAUUUGAAGUCUUACGUGACAAGAUUGCUCUGUUCCUCAAUUUGAACAAUCUCAAGUACUCUUAUUGGGAGUAUAAGCCUAGAGAUAGGAACAAAACAGUCAACUUCGUGAGAUUAGGGCCAAAGGGUCUUGACCUAUUUGACGAUAACAGCCACAUAAUCGGAAGAAUAGAGCAACCGUUGAGCAGAUUCUUGGCGCUUGGGAACAAAACCGGUAAUUUGGGACUCUAUUCGUAUAAACCGGAAAAGGGUAAGUUCGAGGCAACGUUUCAAGCUGUGAGCGACACUUGUGAUCUACCUGUAUCAUGUAAACCAUACGGAAUCUGUACAUUCUCAAAGUCUUGUUCUUGCAUUAAGGCCGUGAGCAAUGGAGAUUGCAGCAGCAACGUGGAAGAAGCGGUUUCGGUGAAGAGGUUAUGUGAUCACGAGAUGGUUGAGCUAGAAGGAGUGACUACAGUGCUGAGAAACGGGACACAAGUGAGAAACGUAAGAAAAGAGAGAUGUGAAGAGUUGUGUAAGAAAGAUUGUGAGUGUGCAGCUGCGAGUUACUCUGUUUCUGAUGAGAGUUGUGUCAUGUAUGGGAUUGUGAUGGGUGUUAAGCAGAUUGAGAGAGUGAGUGGUUUGAGUUAUAUGGUUAAGGUUCCAAAAGGAGUGAGACUGAGUGGUGAGAAACCAAAUGUUAAGAAAUGGGUUGUGGGAUUAGUUGGAGGUAUUGAUGGUUUUGUUAUUUUGUUGCUUCUUUCUGGAUUGGUUUUUUAUUUCAUCCGGAAGCGUCAGAAAAGCUCAUCUCCGCGGCUACCGCCGCAACAGCCGCCCAAUACAGAUUCUUGAUAGUUUGCUUGGAGGAUUUCAGAUUAAUUUUGUGAGUUUGUUGCACAUGUAAACAUGAAUACCAUUUAUAUAGUUAAAAGCGGUUGACACAUGAAAAUUAUAGAAAAUAUAUUUGAUUUGAGGCAUUUUUUCAAACUGUAGGCGAGAGCAUAUGCCUCAAAUCUAGGAUUUCUGAAGGUUCAUAUUCAAGAUUCAAGAAUAUGGGAAGCAUUAAGCAUUAGGGGAUAUAUAAUACAAUCAAUGAGAAUUAGUCACAAGACAGAGCCAGGAGGCAUGAACGGCUCUUGUCUUUUUGUGAUAGAUGUCGCUUCUUUUUAACGUCCAACGGUUAGUUGAAAAUACAGUGUCAUUUAAAAAACUCAGACUUUCAUUA
Non-coding RNA from Camelina sativa (false flax), 2019 nucleotides. The record is from RefSeq and is a predicted model, not a curated record. NCBI's taxonomy places the organism in Eukaryota, Viridiplantae, Streptophyta, Magnoliopsida, Brassicales, Brassicaceae.